AACCCUCUAGCUUGAAUCCUAAAUACCAAUCAAUUAAUUGAAACCAAUUAUAUAGACUAGCUCACAAACCUAAGAAUCAUUCUUAAUUUUAGAAAAUUAAGUAAUGUUCUCUACCAGGUUAUUUUGAUGUUAACAAUCCAUCCAACUUAUAGUCAACGAGCACUACUUGAUGAGUGGAUGGACAAUGUCAAUAAAGAUAGGUGUUAUAUAUUGAAGUCUAUGAACUCCAACGUAUGCAUGAGCACAUGUUC
Molecule: long non-coding RNA, 251 nt
Filed under: Elaeis guineensis (African oil palm)
Lineage: Eukaryota; Viridiplantae; Streptophyta; Magnoliopsida; Arecales; Arecaceae
Description: long non-coding RNA (EGUI_LNC074315)
Source: RNAcentral